Molecule: ribosomal RNA, 485 nt
Filed under: Streptococcus sp. oral taxon 071
Lineage: Bacteria; Bacillati; Bacillota; Bacilli; Lactobacillales; Streptococcaceae
Description: bacterial SSU rRNA
Rfam family: Bacterial small subunit ribosomal RNA
Source: RNAcentral
GACGAACGCUGGCGGCGCGCCUAAUACAUGCAAGUAGAACGCUGAAGAGAGGAGCUUGCUCUUCUUGGAUGAGUUGCGAACGGGUGAGUAACGCGUAGGUAACCUGCCUGGUAGCGGGGGAUAACUAUUGGAAACGAUAGCUAAUACCGCAUGAAAUGGAUUAUCGCAUGAUAAUUCAUUGAAAGGUGCAAAUGCAUCACUACCAGAUGGACCUGCGUUGUAUUAGCUAGUUGGUGGGGUAACGGCUCACCAAGGCGACGAUACAUAGCCGACCUGAGAGGGUGAUCGGCCACACUGGGACUGAGACACGGCCCAGACUCCUACGGGAGGCAGCAGUAGGGAAUCUUCGGCAAUAGACGGAAGUCUGACCGAGCAACGCCGCGUGAGUGAAGAAGGUUUUCGGAUCGUAAAGCUCUGUUGUAAGAGAAGAACGAGUGUGAGAGUGGAAAGUUCACACUGUGACGGUAUCUUACCAGAAAGGACGG